This 1305-nucleotide ribosomal RNA is filed under the name Candidatus Phytoplasma citri. RNAcentral describes it as "bacterial SSU rRNA". It matches the Rfam family "Bacterial small subunit ribosomal RNA", at positions 108 to 1413 of the family's 1533-position model. Lineage: Bacteria; Bacillati; Mycoplasmatota; Mollicutes; Acholeplasmatales; Acholeplasmataceae. The record is from RNAcentral.
GAGUACACGUAAGCAACCUACCCUAAAGACGAGGAUAACCAUUGGAAACAGUGGCUAAGACUGGAUAGGAAGAUAAAAGGCAUCUUUUAUCUUUUAAAAGACCUAGUAAUAGGUAUGCUUUAGGAGGGGCUUGCGCCAUAUUAGUUAGUUGGUAGGGUAAUGGCCUACCAAGACGAUGAUGUGUAGCUGGACUGAGAGGUUGAACAGCCACAUUGGGACUGAGACACGGCCCAAACUCCUACGGGAGGCAGCAGUAGGGAAUUUUCGGCAAUGGAGGAAACUCUGACCGAGCAACGCCGCGUGAAUGACGAAGUACUUCGGUAUGUAAAGUUCUUUUAUCAAGGAAGAAAAGCAAAUGGCGAACCAUUUGUUUGCCGGUACUUGAUGAAUAAGCCCCGGCUAAUUAUGUGCCAGCAGCCGCGGUAAGACAUAAGGGGCAAGUGUUAUCCGGAAUUAUUGGGCGUAAAGGGUGCGUAGGCGGUCUAGUAAGUCAGUGGUGUAAUGGCAACGCUUAACGUUGUCCGGCUAUUGAAACUGCUAAACUUGAGUUAGAUAGAGGCGAGUGGAAUUCCAUGUGUAGCGGUAAAAUGCGUAAAUAUAUGGAGGAACACCAGAGGCGUAGGCGGCUCGCUGGGUCUUAACUGACGCUGAGGCACGAAAGCGUGGGGAGCAAACAGGAUUAGAUACCCUGGUAGUCCACGCCGUAAACGAUGAGUACUAAGUGUCGGGUUAAACCGGUACUGAAGUUAACACAUUAAGUACUCCGCCUGAGUAGUACGUACGCAAGUAUGAAACUUAAAGGAAUUGACGGGACUCCGCACAAGCGGUGGAUCAUGUUGUUUAAUUCGAAGAUACCCGAAAAACCUUACCAGGUCUUGACAUGUUUUUGCAAAAUGAUAGUAAUAUCGUGGAGGUUACCAGAAACACAGGUGGUGCAUGGUUGUCGUCAGCUCGUGUCGUGAGAUGUUAGGUUAAGUCCUAAAACGAGCGAAACCCUUAUCGUUAGUUGCCAGCACGUUAUGGUGGGGACUUUAACGAGACUGCCAAUGAUAAAUUGGAGGAAGGUGAGGAUCACGUCAAAUCAGCAUGCCCCUUAUGACCUGGGCUACAAACGUGAUACAAUGGCUGUUACAAAGGGUAGCUGAAACGCAAGUUCUUGGCCAAUCCCCAAAAACAGUCCCAGUCCGGAUUGAAGUCUGCAACUCGACUUCAUGAAGUUGGAAUCGCUAGUAAUCGCGAAUCAGCAUGUCGCGGUGAAUACGUUCUCGGGGUUUGUACACACCGCCCGUCAAACCACGAAAGUUG